This 1423-nucleotide ribosomal RNA is filed under the name Afronemoura amatolae. RNAcentral's name for it is "partial 28S ribosomal RNA". It matches the Rfam family "Eukaryotic large subunit ribosomal RNA", at positions 24 to 1895 of the family's 3401-position model. The record is from RNAcentral. Lineage: Eukaryota; Metazoa; Arthropoda; Insecta; Plecoptera; Notonemouridae.
UCCCGCGUAAUUUAAGCAUAUUAAUAAGCGGAGGAAAAGAAACUAACUAGGAUUCCCUUAGUAGCUGCGAGCGAACAGGGAAAAGCCCAGCACUGAAUCCUGCGUGCCGUGCGCACGUUUGGAAAUGUAGUGUUUGGGAGGAUCCGAUUAUCUCGUGAGAGCUCGCCAGUCCAAGUCCAUCUUGAAAGCGGCCACAGCCCAUAGAGGGUGCCAGGCCCGUAGGACGGUGGGUCGCUCGAACGAAAGGAUCUCUCCAGAGUUCAAGAGUACGUGAAACCGUUCAGGGGUAAACGGACGAAAUCUGGAAAAUCGAAGCGAAAGAUUCAAGCUCAAUCGCCGUGCGUUGCGCGGCGGCCGCCGAUGGCGGACUGGCGCCCGUGCGUCGCAGCAAUGCGCGCCGGUGUCGUCCGGUCCGUUCACGGCGUGUCGUCACGCGCGCCGGUAUCGGGCCGCACUUUUUUCGUUGUAGUACGUCGCGACCCGUUGGGUGCGCGUCCAAGGCCUGCUCGUGGAGACGAUCUCGGCUGUAGCCAGCCCCUCUCGGGGGGCCGGGCGCACAGAGUUCGACUGUGGCGGUGUCCCGACGCGCUCGCCCGACGGUAGCCAAACGACUCGAAAAGAACCCGAGGCCUCGCGGCCGCGGGCGGUCCUUAAUUGGACACGAGUCGUGUCUGCGGCGCUCUAUCUAGAGCAUCAUCCGACCCGUCUUGAAGCACGGACCAAGGAGUCUAACAUGUGCGCGAGUCAUUGGGACCGCACUAAACCUAAAGGCGUAAUGAAAGUGAAUGUCGGCCGCCUCGGCGGUCGGCAGAGGGGAGAUGGCGGCCGUCCGUAGCGUCGCGCCGCCCGCAUCCCCGGGGCGUCUCGUUGUCAUUGCGACACAGCAGGCGCACCCAGAGCGUACACGUUGGGACCCGAAAGAUGGUGAACUAUGCCUGGUCAGGUCGAAGUCAGGGGAAACUGGCACUCGGAGUACGAAUGCAAAAGCGUCGGUCGCGCGGUUCGCCGCGUGCGCCGGUCGCGAAAACCAGUCUCAUCUGNNNNNNNNNNNNNNNNNNNNNNNNNNNNNNNNNNNNNNNNNNNNNNNNNNGGAAUCCGGUUCCUAUUCCGGAACCCGGCUGCGGAACCGACAUGCGGGCCACUCUGCAGCAAUGCAGAACUCGUCGGGGUAACCCAAAAGGACCCGGAGACGCCGUCGGAUGAUCGAGGCAGAGUUUUCUGUUCUGUAUGAGCGUUCGAGUUCCCUGGAAUCGCCUAGCGCGGAGAUAGGGUUUGGAACGCGAAGAGCACCGCACUUGCGGCGGUGUCUCGAUCUAUCCCUCGGACCUUGAAAAUCCGGGAGAGGGCCACGUGGAGGUGUCGCGCCGGUUCGUACCCAUAUCCGCAGCAGGUCUCCAAGGUGAGGAGCCUCUAGUCGAUAGAA